UUAUGGCUCAGGAUGAACGCUGGCGGCGUGCUUAACACAUGCAAGUCGAACGAAGCAACUAUACGAUCCUCGGGUGACGAUUGUUGACUGAGUGGCGGACGGGUGAGUAACGCGUGGGUAACCUGCCUUGUACAGGGGGACAACAGUUGGAAACGACUGCUAAUACCGCAUAAGCGCACAGCUUCGCAUGAAGCAGUGUGAAAAGUUUUUCGGUACAAGAUGGACCCGCGUCUGAUUAGCUAGUUGGUGAGGUAACGGCCCACCAAGGCGACGAUCAGUAGCCGACCUGAGAGGGUGACCGGCCACAUUGGGACUGAGACACGGCCCAAACUCCUACGGGAGGCAGCAGUGGGGAAUAUUGCACAAUGGGCGAAAGCCUGAUGCAGCGACGCCCGCGUGAGCGAAGAAGUAUUUCGGUAUGUAAAGCUCUAUCAGCAGGGAAGAUAAUGACGGUACCUGACUAAGAAGCACCGGCUAAAUACGUGCCAGCAGCUGC
Molecule: ribosomal RNA, 496 nt
Filed under: uncultured bacterium
Lineage: Bacteria
Description: bacterial SSU rRNA
Rfam family: Bacterial small subunit ribosomal RNA
Source: RNAcentral